RNAcentral lists this transfer RNA (71 nucleotides) under Marmota monax (woodchuck). RNAcentral's name for it is "tRNA.Ala". The record is from RNAcentral. Lineage: Eukaryota; Metazoa; Chordata; Mammalia; Rodentia; Sciuridae.
GGGGUUGUAGCUCAGUGGUUAAGCACUUGCCUUGCAUGUAUGAGGUACUGGGUUCGGUCCUCAGCACCACA